This 74-nucleotide transfer RNA is filed under the name Acanthopleuribacter pedis. RNAcentral describes it as "tRNA-Glu". It matches the Rfam family "tRNA". From Rfam's summary of the family: Transfer RNA (tRNA) molecules are approximately 80 nucleotides in length. The record is from RNAcentral. Lineage: Bacteria; Pseudomonadati; Acidobacteriota; Holophagae; Acanthopleuribacterales; Acanthopleuribacteraceae.
GCUCCUACGUUUCGUGGUUAAGACGUCGGGUUUUCAUCCCGAAAACCGGAGUUCGAGUCUCCGUGGGAGUACCA